AUGCAAGUCGGGCGGUAGCAGGGAGAAAGCUUGCUUUCUCCGCUGACGAGCGGCGGACGGGUGAGUAAUGUCUGGGGAUCUGCCUGAUGGAGGGGGAUAACUACUGGAAACGGUAGCUAAUACCGCAUAACGUCGCAAGACCAAAGUGGGGGACCUUCGGGCCUCAUGCCAUCAGAUGAACCCAGAUGGGAUUAGCUAGUAGGUGGGGUAAUGGCUCACCUAGGCGACGAUCCCUAGCUGGUCUGAGAGGAUGACCAGCCACACUGGAACUGAGACACGGUCCAGACUCCUACGGGAGGCAGCAGUGGGGAAUAUUGCACAAUGGGCGCAAGCCUGAUGCAGCCAUGCCGCGUGUAUGAAGAAGGCCUUCGGGUUGUAAAGUACUUUCAGUAGGGAGGAAGGUGUGAGCGUUAAUAGCGUUC
RNAcentral lists this ribosomal RNA (422 nucleotides) under Edwardsiella ictaluri. RNAcentral describes it as "bacterial SSU rRNA". It matches the Rfam family "Bacterial small subunit ribosomal RNA", at positions 55 to 469 of the family's 1533-position model. The record is from RNAcentral. Lineage: Bacteria; Pseudomonadati; Pseudomonadota; Gammaproteobacteria; Enterobacterales; Hafniaceae.